GCAAGUAUCCACUCACUACCCCUAGUGAGUAUACCAUAUCCGAUCUCAUAUAUGAUGUACAUGAUAGAAUAAAUUCUACUCAUAAACACUCUAUGUACUUAGAUUGGGAUAACCUAAGCAGGCUCUUAGAUUUAUCUCUAUAGAUCUUCAUCCUUAGGAUGAGGGAUGUUUUUCCCAACUCCUUUAUGGAGAAUAAUGAUAUCAGUAGAACCUUUAUUCUUUGUAAUGUAAGGAAUAUC
This 239-nucleotide long non-coding RNA is filed under the name Elaeis guineensis (African oil palm). RNAcentral describes it as "long non-coding RNA (EGUI_LNC067280)". Lineage: Eukaryota; Viridiplantae; Streptophyta; Magnoliopsida; Arecales; Arecaceae. The record is from RNAcentral.